Long non-coding RNA from Manis pentadactyla (Chinese pangolin), 262 nucleotides. RefSeq lists it as uncharacterized. The record is from RefSeq and is a predicted model, not a curated record. Lineage: Eukaryota; Metazoa; Chordata; Mammalia; Pholidota; Manidae. The transcript has 3 exons.
GUGACACAACUUUUAGCAUUCGUGAGCUUCAGUGAUGAAUUUGUGUGAAUGUUCAAAUGCUAAUAUAUGAAAACUGAGGCACGGAGGGGCCAAAUAAAUUGCUCAAGGACCCACAGCUAAUAAGUAGGGUGGUAAAGGCUCUGCUGUAACGGGUCCCAGGGUUCCUCACUGUACCCCGUGUUCUUCUUCCAAAACCUUCUUCACACCUCCUCAAAUUAUCCUAAAGUUCGAGUGUCACCUGUUUCCUGCUGGGACCUGACUG